GACCACAGGAAAGUUCUUACAUUUAUUUGUUAAAAUGCAGAUUUGUUUCCGGCUUGGUCAUUUUGUCUGAGGGAAGGAGAAGAGGAGAUGUUAACGAGACCAUUGGAUUAAUGAAGGUUAUGCUUAACAAGAAGAAAGGAACUGGCUUAAGGAUUUGAGGGGAAUCACAGAGAAGGAGAUCUUGUAGGUUCGGAGCACAAGUUGAAGGCAUGCUACUGUCCAGGCAUGACAUUGUGGUGGCGUGGAGCAAAUGAAGAGAGACAAGGAGACAUGUGCCAUGGAGGCUGUUAGGUAUUAUUUAGUCAACUCAGAGCAUCGUAGCACGCAGGCUGGUCAUGACGUGGGAUGCUGAUGUGUCCAGAGCCUGGAGGCUCUACCAGGAGACAGGCCAGUACACCAGGAGACGUGGAGGAGGCCGUAGGAGGACAACAACCCAG
Long non-coding RNA from Girardinichthys multiradiatus, 437 nucleotides. RefSeq lists it as uncharacterized. The record is from RefSeq and is a predicted model, not a curated record. The transcript is spliced from 3 exons. NCBI's taxonomy places the organism in Eukaryota, Metazoa, Chordata, Actinopteri, Cyprinodontiformes, Goodeidae.